GCCUUCGUGGUGUAGUGGUCAACACACUCGGCGCGCGUUCGAGAGUUCCAUGGUUCGAGUCCCGGCUAGGGCA
Molecule: transfer RNA, 73 nt
Filed under: Stegodyphus mimosarum
Lineage: Eukaryota; Metazoa; Arthropoda; Arachnida; Araneae; Eresidae
Rfam family: tRNA
About the family: Transfer RNA (tRNA) molecules are approximately 80 nucleotides in length. Their secondary structure includes four short double-helical elements and three loops (D, anti-codon, and T loops).
Source: Rfam by way of RNAcentral